Molecule: unclassified non-coding RNA, 155 nt
Filed under: uncultured Trichocomaceae
Lineage: Eukaryota; Fungi; Ascomycota; Eurotiomycetes; Eurotiales; Trichocomaceae
Also listed under: 1 other name
Description: sequence contains ITS2
Source: RNAcentral
CUGCCCUCAAGCGCGGCUUGUGUGUUGGGUGCGGUCCCCCCGGGGACCUGCCCGAAAGGCAGCGGCGACGUCCGUUUGGGUCCUCGAGCGUAUGGGGCUUUGUCACUCGCUCGGGACGGACCCGCGGGGGUUGGUCACCACCACAAUUUUACCAC